This 459-nucleotide ribosomal RNA is filed under the name uncultured bacterium. Its description in RNAcentral is "bacterial SSU rRNA". It matches the Rfam family "Bacterial small subunit ribosomal RNA", at positions 34 to 507 of the family's 1533-position model. The record is from RNAcentral.
CGCUGGCGGCGUGCCUAACACAUGCAAGUCGAACGGGGUGUCGAGAGCUUGCUCUUGACACUUAGUGGCGAACGGGUGAGUAACGCGUGAGAAACCUGCCUCUCAGUGGGGGACAACAGUUGGAAACGACUGCUAAUACCGCAUAAUGUAUUCGGAGGGCAUCCUCUGAAUACCAAAGCUUUAUGUGCUGAGAGAUGGUCUCGCGUCUGAUUAGCUAGAUGGCGGGGUAACGGCCCACCAUGGCGACGAUCAGUAGCCGGUCUGAGAGGAUGAACGGCCACAUUGGGACUGAGAUACGGCCCAGACUCCUACGGGAGGCAGCAGUGGGGAAUAUUGGGCAAUGGGGGAAACCCUGACCCAGCCAUGCCGCGUGAGUGAAGAAGGUUUUCGGAUUGUAAAGCUCUUUCGGAUGUGAAGAUGAUGACGGUAGCAUCUAAAGAAGCCCCGGCAAACUUCGUG